GGCAUACUCCCUUCGUUCUAAUUUUUUUGUCUUAGAUUUGUUUAGAUAUGAAUGUAGCUAGUCAAGUUUUGAUAUUUAGAUACAUCCAUUUCUAGACAAAGCUAAGACAAGAAUUUUAGAACCAAUGGAGUACUUU
Non-coding RNA from Hordeum vulgare subsp. vulgare (domesticated barley), 136 nucleotides. Lineage: Eukaryota; Viridiplantae; Streptophyta; Magnoliopsida; Poales; Poaceae. The record is from Rfam.